GACGAACGCUGGCGGCGUGCUUAACACAUGCAAGUCGAACGGUGAAGCGCCUUCCUUUUUGGUGGGUGUGGAUGAGUGGCGAACGGGUGAGUAACACGUGAGUAACCUGCCCCCUUCUUCUGGAUAACCGCAUGAAAGUGUGGCUAAUACGGGAUAUUCUGGGUCUGUCGCAUGAUGGGUCUGGGAAAGAUAUUGUUUCGGUGGGGGAUGGGCUCGCGGCCUAUCAGCUUGUUGGUGGGGUGAUGGCCUACCAAGGCGGUGACGGGUAGCCGGCCUGGGAGGGUGGAGGGUACAACGGGGAAGGGGAAACGGGCCGAACUCCUAGGGGGGGGCGCAGUGGGGAAUAUUGCAAAAUGGGGGGAAGCCUGGUGCGGCGACGCCGGGGGGGGGAUGGGGGCCUUCGGGUUGUGAACCUUUUUCGCCGGGGAAGCGGGCCUGCCUCGUUUGUGGGUGGGUUGACGGUAGCUGGAUAAGAAGCCCCGGCUAACUACGU
RNAcentral lists this ribosomal RNA (493 nucleotides) under uncultured bacterium. RNAcentral describes it as "partial 16S ribosomal RNA". It matches the Rfam family "Bacterial small subunit ribosomal RNA", at positions 28 to 506 of the family's 1533-position model. The record is from RNAcentral.